Non-coding RNA from Musa acuminata subsp. malaccensis (wild Malaysian banana), 87 nucleotides. The record is from Rfam. Lineage: Eukaryota; Viridiplantae; Streptophyta; Magnoliopsida; Zingiberales; Musaceae.
UUGGAUGAUGAAAUGCACUGGGCGCUGAGCAGUUCUUCUGCAUAUAUUUGAAGUAAAUGCACUUGCCUAGAAAGCAUUGGCUGACAU